CAGUCGCCGCGGUAAUACAGAGGGUGCGAGCGUUAAUCGGAUUUACUGGGCGUAAAGCGUGUGUAGGCGGCUUCUUAAGUCGGAUGUGAAAUCCCUGAGCUUAACUUAGGAAUUGCAUUCGAUACUGGGAAGCUAGAGUAUGGGAGAGGAUGGUAGAAUUCCAGGUGUAGCGGUGAAAUGCGUAGAGAUCUGGAGGAAUACCGAUGGCGAAGGCAGCCAUCUGGCCUAAUACUGACGCUGAGGUACGAAAGCAUGGGGAGCAAACAGGAUUAGAUACCCCCGUAGUCCCUGUCUCUUAUAA
RNAcentral lists this ribosomal RNA (301 nucleotides) under uncultured bacterium. RNAcentral describes it as "partial 16S ribosomal RNA". It matches the Rfam family "Bacterial small subunit ribosomal RNA", at positions 509 to 809 of the family's 1533-position model. The record is from RNAcentral.